CCUACGGGUGGCUGCAGUGGGGAAUAUUGGGCAAUGGGCGCAAGCCUGACCCAGCAACGCCGCGUGAAGGAAGAAGGCUUUCGGGUUGUAAACUUCUUUUCUGAGGGACGAAGAAAGUGACGGUACCUCCGGAAUAAGCCACGGCUAACUACGUGCCAGCAUCCGCGGUAAUAAGUAGGUGGCAAGCGUGAUCCGGAUUUAUUGGGUGUAAAGGGCGUGUAGGCGGGAAAGCAAGUCAGAUGUGAAAACUCAAGGCUGAAACCUGAGCCUGCAUUUGAAACUGUUUUUCUUGAGUGCUGGAGAGGCAAUCGGAAUUCCGUGUGUAGCGGUGAAAUGCGUAGAUAUACGGAGGAACACCAGUGGCGAAGGCGGAUUGCUGGACAGUAACUGACGCUGAGGCGCGACAGCGUGGGGAGCAAACAGGAUUAGAUACCCGUGUAGUC
Molecule: ribosomal RNA, 443 nt
Filed under: uncultured bacterium
Lineage: Bacteria
Description: partial 16S ribosomal RNA
Rfam family: Bacterial small subunit ribosomal RNA
Source: RNAcentral